GCCUUCUUGGCUCAGUUGGCAGAGCGUCUGCCUAGUAAGCAGAAGGUCGUCGGUUCGAUUCCGACAGAAGGCA
Molecule: transfer RNA, 73 nt
Organism: Zancudomyces culisetae
Lineage: Eukaryota; Fungi; Kickxellomycota; Harpellomycetes; Harpellales; Legeriomycetaceae
Rfam family: tRNA
About the family: Transfer RNA (tRNA) molecules are approximately 80 nucleotides in length. Their secondary structure includes four short double-helical elements and three loops (D, anti-codon, and T loops).
Source: Rfam